This 4773-nucleotide long non-coding RNA is filed under the name Capsicum annuum. Its description in RNAcentral is "long non-coding RNA (CANN_LNC001201)". Lineage: Eukaryota; Viridiplantae; Streptophyta; Magnoliopsida; Solanales; Solanaceae. The record is from RNAcentral.
AUUGGCAUCAAUAGUGGAAAGCCUUUACAAUUAGAUAUGGCCACUAUUUACAAAACUAGACCUAAUUGUGCCAGAGUUAAGGUCCAGGUAGAUAUUGCCGCUAAUCUACCUAAAUUUUUACAUAUGGUCAUAGUAGAUGAAUCUACCAGAGAAAAACAUACAACCAAUGUUAGAAUACAAUAUGUGCAUUGCUAUAGUGUUGCAAAGAAUGUAAGUUACAAGGUCAUAAUAAGAAAGAAUGAAGGAAAUUAAAUCCUAAUCUUAGAAGGCAGUACAAUAAUUCAAAAGAAAAUAAGAAAAAUGAAGAGGGCCAACAACGAGAUGUAGCAACACUAGAGAUUUAUUAACAGGAGGUUGCUGGACCAAGAUAUAAUGAUUUCCCUCCAAAGAUCUUAUCAGUGGUAAAGUUGCUGGUGAUCCAGUUGUUUGGGCUCUUGUGGAAAGAAAGAAACCUAUGAAGAAAGGAAAGAGGUUAACAAAGAUGCAAAAGCUAAUCCAUCAAAGGAGACAAUAGUUACAAAUAACAAGUUCAAAUCCUGGAAGGAGGAGAGAAAAGAGAUAGAAGAGGAGCAACUGGAUAAUCUAAAAAAUGAGGAGAAAGGGUGGAAAGGGAAGAAGAGAAUAAAUAGAGAGAAGAUUUAAGCUUACAUUCAAAUGAAAUGGUUCAAAUCUGUAAGCAACAACAGAUUUCCCUCGCAGUAGGUGAACAAAAUGGAAUAAAUAUAACAGAGUAGGAAGUUCUAAAAGACACUCAAUAAUAGAUUAUUUAUAGUAAGAGAUAAUUGCCAAUCAGACAAUUUACAACAUAAGUAGAAUUCAACAAUUGACAUACCAAAUGUGCAGAGUUUAGAAAAUAAAGAAGAGAUGGAGAAAGGAAAUAAACAAAAAUUCCCAUGUAAAAGAGAGAUAUGUCAGAUCACAGAUGAUCAAAUUGAACUACACUUGCAAAUGCUGAAUUCCAUCAGCCUUUACAAAUUGAUAGUUUUGGAGUGGUUGAACAUGUAAGAGUAUCAUUGUUCCCAUUUUAAAAUUCCACAAAUAGUUUUAAUAUUGUAGUAGAUAUAGAGGUCCCAGAGAGGUAGGUGGUUGUACAUAGAAAAUAACUUUCUCUAAUCAAGAUUGUGAAUGAUUUGGUUUCUCAUAAGGCAACUGAGAUAACAAUAACACAUUCUAGUAUGAAGAUUAAUAACCAGCUAUAAAAAGAACAACCAACAACCAAAAGAAGAUUAUGAAUAAGAAAUGAAUGAUAUAAAUAUGAAAAAUAUCAUGAAACAUGUAGAUUUAUGUCCAACAAAUAAGAUGAAGGAAAAGAAAAUAAGAGCCAAGGCUGAUAAUAGUAAACCUACUUGGGUCUUACCAUUGAGGGGGUCAAGGCUAGUUCCAACUGCGUUGCAAAGCUCUCUUUCAGAAUAUUAGAUCUGUGAGAGCUCAUCAUGCUUUUCACAAAGUUCAAAUAUUGUACAGACAUAAUAAAUUUUUCAAUAUUGCAUUAAUGGAACCUUUUCAAGCACCUUGCUAGAUUCAAAGGUACAAGAGAAGGUUUGGUAUGCAAUAUUCAAACUAUAAUCAAAAUGAAAAAGAUGGAUUUAUUCUCAGCAAGAUAUUCAGGUCACAAUGUUAGUUAAUUCUGAUCAACAAUUGACUACUUAGAUCAACUUUGUGGAUGGAAGAAAAAUUAUUACCACAAUAGUAUAUGCAAAGUGUGAUGUUAUUGACAAAUUAGAUUUCCCAAAUGAUAUUUACUCAUUAAGUGAUAGUAUGAGAUUACCAUGGUUGUUAGGAGGUGAUUUCAAUGUCAUUUUGGAUGAGGAUGAGAAAAUUAGAGGGUUGCCUAUUUACCCUCAAGAAUAUUAAGAUUUUGCAUUUUGUGUAAAUUAUUGUGAACUUUUUGAUAUCAAAUUUAAAGGGAUCCCAUUCACAUGGUGGGAUAGUAGAAUUGAUGGUGCUUGUCUAUUUAAAAGGUUGGAUAGGUAUGUCUGAUGAAUCAAAGGUUGUUGAGGAUGUUUGUGAAUGUUAAAGUUAAACAUUUAGCUAGAACUGGUUCUAAUCAUGCUCCUAUUUUGUUAUCAUGUGGGGGAUUAGAUACACAUAUUUUUUAGCCCUUUUAAUUCCAAAAAAUUUGGACAGAAGAUAAGGAUUUCAAAAGGGUGGUAACUGACAGCUGAAAGUGUGAAGAAUCGGGUAACUAUUUCAUUAAAUUGAAACAAAAGAUGAAAAAUGCUAAGCUGGCACUUUCAAGAUGGAGUAGAGAAAAGUUUGGUGAUAUUUUUAAUUAGUUGAUGACUAGAGAAGAUAUUGUAAGGAUUAUUUAUUUGGAUAAAAUCUUUCUUCAGAAAAUAGAAUGAUACUUCAACUUGCAUAGGCUGAAUUAAAAAAUUACCUUCACUAUGAAGAAAAGUAUUGGAGGCAGAAAGUAAGGGUAAGAUGGUUUGUUGAAGGUGAAAAAUACACUAAGUUUUUCUAUAACUUAGUUAAUGGUAGGAGAAAAAGAUUGCACCUAAAUAGAAUUGGCAAGGAAGAUGGGGUUGUGCUGAAGGAAAGGAAGAAGUUGCUGCUGAGGCCAUUAAAUUUUAUCAGAAAUAGUUCACUACUGAGACUGAAGUGGUAGAUUUAACUUUGCUUAAAUUUUUCCAACACUAGUUAUUUCUAGGGAUAAUCAAUUGUUAAAUUCCAUGCCAAAAGGAGAAAAGAUUAAAAACGUGGUUUAUGAGGUUAAUGGUGAUAGUACUAGUGGUCCUGAUGGUUUCACAGGGCAAUUUUAUCAAUCUUGAUGGGGUAUUAUGGGAUCUGACAUAUGUGAAGUUGUGGUUGCUUUUUUUUUUGGCAGGAUGUACUUUGCCAAAGUCAAUUACUCAUAUUAACUUGGUCCUACUGCCCAAAAAAGAGAAUAUGUAGUUUUUUUUCUGACUUGAGAUCAAUUAGUUUGAGCAAUUUUCUUAACAAGGUACUGUCUAGAAUCAUUCAUGAUAGAAUAGAGAAAGUAAUUCCCAAAAUUAUUUCUCCAAACCAGUCAGGGUUUGUGAAAGGAAGACGUAUUACAGAGAAUGUUUUAUUGGUCAAAGAGAUAAUCUGUGAUAUAAGAAAAAGGGGAAAACUAGCUAAUGUUGUGAUUAAGUUGGAUAUGGGCAAAGCAUAUGAUAGAGUAGACUAGAGAUUCUUGAUUAAAGUGCUUGAAAGAAUGGGUUUUGAUGGAUUUUUUUUUAGAGAUUUGUGACUAAUAAUUGGUAUUCUGUGCUAAUUAAUGGACAAUCCUAUGGUUUAUUUCAUUCUACCAGAGGUCUCAAACAAGGAGAUCCUUUAUUUCUAGCCCUUUUCAUCCUAACUACUGAGGUAUUGUCGAGAACUUUAAAUAGUUUAUUUAAGAAUAAUGACUUUAAGGGGUUUGGAAGACAAAAUGGCAUGAUAGAAUUAAUCAUCUAGUGUUUGCUGAUGAUACUAUCAUUUUUCAUUGAGGAGAAACUAACAUUGCAGAUGGCCAUGGAUAGUCUUAAGGAAUAUGAAAAGAUAUCAGGGCAAAUGAGUAAUAAAGACAAAAGUUGUUUUUAUGUUUUUCAUAAGACUGUUGAGACUAUUGUUCAAGAGAUCAAAGACAUUAAUGGCUUCAGUAAAGAAAAAUUCCCUCUAAUAUAUCUUGGGUAUCCAAUUGGACAUGUUAGGAAGAGGAAAAUCAUUUUACUGAAAUAAUGAAGAAAGUACAGAAUAAGGUACAAGCAUGGAAAGGUAAAUUAUUAUCUUUUGUUGGAAAACAUGUUUUGAUAAAUAGUUUUUACAAAAUAUUCCAAUUUACCUACUUUAUGCUACUGUUCCACCAAAAUGGGCCAUUUAUGACCUUUAUAAAAUCUUUGCUAUGUUCUUAUGGAAUUUUAAAGAGGAGGAAAAGAACAGACACUGGAUGGCUUGGACAGAAGUUUGUUGUCCUAAAGAAAAGGGUAUCUUAGGAUUCUGGUCUCUGUUUGAUAUGUACCAAGCUUUAUAUGCCAAGCUUUGGUGGAAUUUCCAAACUAAGAAAUCCCUAUAGGCUAAGUUUAUGUGGAUAACGUAUGUGAAAAGAAUAGACCUUAAAUUGAUGAAUGGAGAGGAGGUUCACAAAUUUGGAAUUACAUAAUUGAAGCAAGAGAUUUUUUGAUCAGGAUAUUUGGUAGGAACCUAUAAGAGGGAGUGCUAAUGCGUGGUAUGAUAAUUAGACACAACUAGGAGCUUUACAUUAUUUACUUCCUAUAAAUAAUUUGAUGCAUGAAGGAGUUGAAGAUGUUACAGAUUUGAUAUUGGGUAACAAUUGGAAUAAGAUAUUAUUGAACCAAUUAUUGCAUGAAGAGAUUAGAUCUUAUUUUUUUGAAAAAAUAAAAGUAGGGGAAGAACCUAUAGAUUGGGAUGCAACUUGGUAGAAAUGAUUGAUUCUGGAAAAUUUACAAUUUUUAGUGCUUGGAAUAAGGUCAGGGUAGAAAAAAUGAAACAACUAUUGUUUAAGAAAAUUUAGGUGAAAGGAUUACCUUUCAAAAUUGCUUUCUUAUCAUGGAGAGUUCGCAAGAAAAGGAUUCCAACUGGGGAGAUGUUGGUGAGAAUACAAGGUGCAAGCACAAUUAUCUAUUGUUGUUGUAAUGAUACAAAAAUUGAGACUUGUGAACAUCUUUUUUGUACUUGUUUUGCUGCUAGGAAUAUAUGGCAGUAACUUGCAAAUGCAGCUGGUAUUGAGGGUCCCUUUAUACAACUUAAGAGCACCAUUUUUCAAGUGGUGGCAAGCAAAUUGUAGCUCUAAGUUAAAGACUAUUUACA